RNAcentral lists this small RNA (883 nucleotides) under uncultured Rubrobacteria bacterium. RNAcentral's name for it is "bacterial SSU rRNA". The stretch from base 1 to 491 matches the Rfam family "Bacterial small subunit ribosomal RNA", at positions 1045 to 1533 of the family's 1533-position model. Lineage: Bacteria; Bacillati; Actinomycetota; Rubrobacteria. The record is from RNAcentral.
AUGGCUGUCGUCAGCUCGUGUCGUGAGAUGUUGGGUUAAGUCCCGCAACGAGCGCAACCCCUGAUCUGUGUUGCCAGCGGUUCGGCCGGGAACUCACAGAAGACUGCCGGUGACAAACCGGAGGAAGGUGGGGAUGAGGUCAAGUCAUCGUGCCCCUUAUGUCCAGGGCUACAAGCGUGCUACAAUGGCCGGUACAAAGGGCUGCAAAACCGCGAGGUGGAGCGAAUCCCAAAAAGCCGGUCCCAGUUCGGAUUGAAGGCUGAAACUCGCCUUCAUGAAGUCGGAGUUGCUAGUAAUCGCGGAUCAGCAACGCCGCGGUGAAUACGUUCCCGGGUCUUGUACACACCGCCCGUCACACCACGAAAGCCGGAAACGCCCGAAGUCCGUGCGCCAACCCGCAAGGGAGGCAGCGGCCGAAGGUGGAGUCGGUGAUUGGGGUGAAGUCGUAACAAGGUAGCCGUAGCGGAAGCUGCGGCUGGAUCACCUCCUUUCUAGGGAAUACAGCCGGCGCUUGCGUCGAGCUGUGGGCGCCGCUCACUGUGAUGGCAUUCCGCCGUCCAGAUGACCGGCUCGCCUGGAAUAACGUCGACACUGACGUUCUCUCGCCUCGAGCGGGAGUCCAAACUGUUGAGUUUUGAGAGACCAUCGCUCGCGCGGCAUCCGCCGUGCUUCGAUAGUUCCUCUCGUGCGGGCAUGUGUCCGCGUGCACCUUGAAAACUCCAGAGCGGUUUGUGGUGUUCUCUACUUGAAAGAAAUCAAGUGAACAAGGGCACACGGUGGAUGCCUUGGCAUCUGGAGCCGAUGAAGGACGUGGACGGCUGCGAUAAGCCUCGGGGAGUUGCUGAUCAAGCGUUGAUCCGAGGAUUUCCGAAUGGGGAAACCC